AUGAACAGUACCGGAGGCGGAUCACGACGAUCCGGGGGCAUCCCUGCUGACGCAGGCGGCCUGCACAUCGUGUAGCACCGUACCCCGCCAUACCUCAACUUUCGCCUUCCGGCGCACCGGUAUUGUUCA
This is a non-coding RNA of Kluyvera ascorbata ATCC 33433, 129 nucleotides long. NCBI's taxonomy places the organism in Bacteria, Pseudomonadati, Pseudomonadota, Gammaproteobacteria, Enterobacterales, Enterobacteriaceae. The record is from Rfam.